AUACGGAGGAUGCAAGCGUUAUCCGGAUUUAUUGGGUUUAAAGGGUGCGUAGGCGGUUUGCUAAGCGGGAGGUGAAAUGCCGGCGCUCAACGUCGGAAGUGCCUCCCGAACUGGUGGACUGGAAUGACUCUGCCGUGGGAGGAAUGUGUAGUGUAGCGGUGAAAUGUUUAGAGAUUACACAGAACACCGAUUGCGAAGGCAUCUCACGAAGGGUUGAUUGACGCUGAGGCACGAAAGCGUGGGGAUCAAACAGGAUUAGAUACCCUGGUAGUCCACGCAGUAAACGAUGAUGGCUAACCGCUGGGCUUAUCAGUUCAGUGGCCAAGCGAAAGCGAUAAGCCAUCCACCUGGGGAGUACGACCGCAAGGUUGAAACUCAAAUGAAUUGGCGGGG
RNAcentral lists this ribosomal RNA (393 nucleotides) under uncultured bacterium. RNAcentral's name for it is "partial 16S ribosomal RNA". It matches the Rfam family "Bacterial small subunit ribosomal RNA", at positions 523 to 918 of the family's 1533-position model. The record is from RNAcentral.